GGAUAUAGCUCAAUUAGUCGAAUGUUUGCCUUGCAUGCACAAGGUCCUGGGUUCAAUCCCCAGCACCA
Molecule: transfer RNA, 68 nt
Filed under: Marmota monax (woodchuck)
Lineage: Eukaryota; Metazoa; Chordata; Mammalia; Rodentia; Sciuridae
Description: tRNA.Ala
Source: RNAcentral